UACGUAGGGGGCAAGCGUUGUCCGGAAUUAUUGGGCGUAAAGCGCGUGUAGGCGGCUUGGUAAGUCUGGUGUGAAACCUUGGGGCUCAACCCCAAGCCUGCACUGGAUACUGCCUCGCUAGAGUCCGGGAGGGGAGGGCGGAAUUCCUAGUGUAGCGGUGAAAUGCGCAGAUAUUAGGAAGAACACCGGUGGCGAAGGCGGCCCUCUGGAACGGUACUGACGCUAAGACGCGAAAGCGUGGGGAGCGAACAGG
RNAcentral lists this ribosomal RNA (253 nucleotides) under uncultured bacterium. RNAcentral describes it as "partial 16S ribosomal RNA". It matches the Rfam family "Bacterial small subunit ribosomal RNA", at positions 524 to 776 of the family's 1533-position model. The record is from RNAcentral.